RNAcentral lists this ribosomal RNA (253 nucleotides) under uncultured bacterium. RNAcentral describes it as "partial 16S ribosomal RNA". It matches the Rfam family "Bacterial small subunit ribosomal RNA", at positions 524 to 776 of the family's 1533-position model. The record is from RNAcentral.
UACGAAGGGGGCGAGCGUUGUUCGGAAUUACUGGGCGUAAAGGGCGCGUAGGCGGUGUGUCAAGUCAGGCGUGAAAGCCCCGGGCUCAACCUGGGAACGGCGCUUGAGACUGGCACGCUCGAGUCCGGGAGAGGUGGGUGGAACUGCGAGUGUAGAGGUGAAAUUCGUAGAUAUUCGCAAGAACACCAGUGGCGAAGGCGGCUCACUGGCCCGGUACUGACACUGAGGUGCGAAAGCGUGGGGAGCAAACAGG